CCUACGGGAGGCAGCAGUGAGGAAUAUUGGUCAAUGGACGAGAGUCUGAACCAGCCAAGUAGCGUGAAGGAUGACUGCCCUAUGGGUUGUAAACUUCUUUUAUAUGGGAAUAAAACGUUCCACGUGUGGGAUUUUGUAUGUAACAUAUGAAUAAGGAUCGGCUAACUCCGUGCCAGCAGCCGCGGUAAUACGGAGGAUCCGAGCGUUAUCCGGAUUUAUUGGGUUUAAAGGGAGCGUAGGUGGAUUGUUAAGUCAGUUGUGAAAGUUUGCGGCUCAACCGUAAAAUUGCAGUUGAAACUGGCAGUCUUGAGUACAGUAGAGGUGGGCGGAAUUCGUGGUGUAGCGGUGAAAUGCUUAGAUAUCACGAAGAACUCCGAUUGCGAAGGCAGUUCACUGGACUGCAACUGACACUGAGGCUCGAAAGUGUGGGUAUCAAACAGGAUUAGAUACCCGUGUAGUC
RNAcentral lists this ribosomal RNA (460 nucleotides) under uncultured bacterium. Its description in RNAcentral is "partial 16S ribosomal RNA". It matches the Rfam family "Bacterial small subunit ribosomal RNA", at positions 338 to 795 of the family's 1533-position model. The record is from RNAcentral.